This 495-nucleotide ribosomal RNA is filed under the name uncultured bacterium. RNAcentral describes it as "partial 16S ribosomal RNA". It matches the Rfam family "Bacterial small subunit ribosomal RNA", at positions 28 to 507 of the family's 1533-position model. The record is from RNAcentral.
GAUGAACGCUGGCGGCGUGCUUAACACAUGCAAGUCGAACGAAGCACCUCUCCCGAAGAUUGACACAGCUUGCUGGAGAUUGAUUCAUUUGAGGUGACUGAGUGGCGGACGGGUGAGUAACGCGUGGGUAACCUGCCUCAUGGAGGGGGACAACAGUUGGACACGACUGCUAAUACCGCAUAGUAAGAAGAAUUCGCAUGUUUUCUUCUUGAAAGAUUUAUCGCUAUGAGAUGGACCCGCGUCUGAUUAGCUAGUUGGUAAGGUAACGGCUUACCAAGGCGACGAUCAGGAGCCGGGUUGAGAGAGUGAACGGCCACAUUGGGACUGAGACACGGCCCCAACUCCUACGGGAGGCAGCAGUGGGGAAUAUUGCACAAUGGGGGAAACCCUGAUGCAGCGACGCCGCGUGAGUGAAGAAGUAUUUCGGUAUGUAAAGCUCUAUCAGCAGGGAAGAUAAUGACGGUACCUGACUAAGAAGCCCCGGCUAACUACGUG